RNAcentral lists this ribosomal RNA (399 nucleotides) under uncultured archaeon. RNAcentral describes it as "bacterial SSU rRNA". It matches the Rfam family "Archaeal small subunit ribosomal RNA", at positions 22 to 426 of the family's 1478-position model. The record is from RNAcentral.
GGUCACUGCUAUCGGAAUUCGACUAAGCCAUGCGAGUCGAGAGGGGUAAGCCCUCGGCGGAUUGCUCAGUAACACGUGGAUAACCUACCCUUGGAAGUGGGAUAACCCCGGGAAACUGGGGAUAAUACCGGAUAGGUCAUAGACGCUGGAAUGCCCUUUGGCCUAAAGCGCAAGCGUCCAAGGAUGGGUCUGCGGACCAUCAGGCUGUUGUCAGUGUAAAGAACUGACAAACCUAUAAUGGGUACGGGCACUGAGAGGUGGAGCCCGGAGAUGGGUUCUGAGACAUGAACCCAGGGUCUACGGACCGCAGCAGGCGCGAAACCUUUGCAAUGCGGGAAACCGCGACAGGGGGACUCCGAGUGUCUGCACCUAGUGCAAACUUUUCUGAUGCCUAAAAAG